Molecule: transfer RNA, 74 nt
Filed under: Pseudonocardia sulfidoxydans NBRC 16205
Lineage: Bacteria; Bacillati; Actinomycetota; Actinomycetes; Pseudonocardiales; Pseudonocardiaceae
Description: tRNA-Leu
Rfam family: tRNA
About the family: Transfer RNA (tRNA) molecules are approximately 80 nucleotides in length. Their secondary structure includes four short double-helical elements and three loops (D, anti-codon, and T loops). Further hydrogen bonds mediate the characteristic L-shaped molecular structure. tRNAs have two regions of fundamental functional importance: the anti-codon, which is responsible for specific mRNA codon recognition, and the 3' end, to which the tRNAs corresponding amino acid is attached (by aminoacyl-tRNA synthetases). tRNAs cope with the degeneracy of the genetic code in two manners: having more than one tRNA (with a specific anti-codon) for a particular amino acid; and 'wobble' base-pairing, i.e. permitting non-standard base-pairing at the 3rd anti-codon position.
Source: RNAcentral
GCCGGCGUACUCCAACGGCAGAGAGAAGGCACUUAGAAUGCCUCCAGUGCGGGUUCGAAUCCCGCCGCCGGCAC